CGGUUGAUCCUGCCGGAGGCUACUGCUAUCGGGGUUCGAUUAAGCCAUGCGAGUUAAAUGUUCUUCGUGAACAUAGCGAACUGCUCAGUAACACGUGGAUAACCUACCCUUAGGACCGGAAUAACCCCGGGAAACUGGGGAUAAUACCGGAUAAGCCAUAGACGCUGGAAUGCCCUAUGGUUCAAAGCUCCGGCGCCUAAGGAUGGAUCUGCGGUCUAUCAGGUUGUAGUGGGUGUAACGUACCUACUAGCCGACGACGGAUACGGGUUGUGAGAGCAAGAGCCCGGAGAUGGAUUCUGAGACACGAAUCCAGGCCCUACGGGGUGCAGCAGGCGCGAACACUUUACAAUGCGGGAAACCGCGAUAAGGGAACCCCGAGUGCCAGCAUCAAAUGUUGGCUGUCCAGAUGAUUAAAAAUCAUUUGUUAGCAAGGGCCGGGCAAGACCGGUGCCAGCCGCCGCGGUAACACCGGCGGCCCGAGUGGUAGCCGUUUUUAUUGGGUCUAAAGGGUCCGUAGCCGGCCUGACAAGUCCUUUGGGAAAUCUGGCAGCUUAACUGUCAGGCUUCUAAGGGAUACUGUCAGGCUUGGGACCGGAAGAGGUAAGGGGUACUCCAGGGGUAGGAGUGAAAUCUUGUAAUCCCUGGGGGACCAUCUGUGGCGAAGGCGCCUUACCAGAACGGGUCCGACGGUGAGGGACGAAAGCUAGGGGAGCAAACCGGAUUAGAUACCCGGGUAGUCCUAGCUGUAAACGAUGCUCGCUAGGUGUCAGACACGGUGCGACCGUGUUUGGUGCCGCAGGGAAGCCGUUAAGCGAGCCACCUGGGAAGUACGGUCGCAAGGCUGAAACUUAAAGGAAUUGGCGGGGGAGCACUACAACGGGUGGAGCCUGCGGUUUAAUUGGAUUCAACGCCGGAAAACUCACCGGGUGCGACAGCAAUAUGUAGGUCAGGCUGAAGGGUCUUACCUGAUCGCUGAGAGGAGGUGCAUGGGUGUCGUCAGUCGGUACUGUGCAGCAUCCCUGAUUAGUCAGGCAACGGAGCCGGAGAACCCCCGGGCGGCCCACCCA
This 1067-nucleotide ribosomal RNA is filed under the name uncultured Methanosarcinales archaeon. Its description in RNAcentral is "bacterial SSU rRNA". It matches the Rfam family "Archaeal small subunit ribosomal RNA", at positions 5 to 1073 of the family's 1478-position model. The record is from RNAcentral. Lineage: Archaea; Methanobacteriati; Methanobacteriota; Methanomicrobia; Methanosarcinales.